Long non-coding RNA from Lagopus leucura (white-tailed ptarmigan), 7113 nucleotides. RefSeq lists it as uncharacterized. The transcript is spliced from 3 exons. The record is from RefSeq and is a predicted model, not a curated record. Lineage: Eukaryota; Metazoa; Chordata; Aves; Galliformes; Phasianidae.
CUUCCUCUGCCUUUUAAAGCUAUUCUCUGAGCUCUGAUAUCCGCUCAAGAUCAGCCUCAGGUAUUUUCAGAGGUGAUGGAGAAGACUGUGAAAAGAACUGCCGGAGGUUUAAGCCCUUGGCAAAAAAUAUGGUGUGUUGGAGAGAUGCCUGCGAGGGGAGCGGGGCUCAUGGUGAGAUGGCUGUGCUGUGAUCUCAGGCACACGGUGUCCAUCCCUCCACCCAUCCUCUGGGCUGACACCUCCACAGGUGUUAAAGACAUCAACUGGCCACCCUCCUGCUGGUGUUUUUCCAUCUGCCUGCUCUUGACAGCUCGUAUUUUUCAAGCCCUAGGAUGGGUGUGCAGAGCAAUAGGGCAGUGCCUGAGGAUGGAGGCUGGAGUGCAAUGAGAGGUUGAAACGUGGCUGCGUCUCUCCCCCUUCUGUACUUUCAGUAGAUGGAAACUGAGCUCUAAAUUGCCUUGGGCACUUGGAGUUGUGUCUUCAUGGACAAAGCAGGGAGGCUGGCUGCAGUGACGUGUGGCUUGUAAAAGCUCCCUGCUGUGGCAAUGGCACUUUCAUGCACAUGGAGCAACCCAAGGCAGCCAACACACACCUAUUUGUGCAGCAAGCAUUAAAAAACAGACCCACCUUGGCCAGAUCUGCUCCCAGGCCAUGGCCAUCACAGCGUGUUUAUGGCUUUCACUUGUGGGCUGUUUGGGAUCAUUAAAUAAAUGUCACAGGAACUCUGGAGGUGGUAAGUAAUCAGAGCAGCCGGGAGAGCUGAAACAACUGCAAGGGCAAGAAAAAUAUUUUGCAAAGGAAACUUCACUGAACUCUUCCACAGAAGACAAAGGAGGUGAAAAGGAGCAACUUUCUGUUUCAUUUUGAAUGGAUAUUUUUCCGCUCUCAUUGCUUUCCGGAAGACAAAAAAAAAUGUCAGCAGAGAUGCUUUCAUCAGAAGGUAAUUCUGCUUGAGAUGUCUGGCAGAUGAAGUGAGGCUUUCGUUGCUCUGCUCUCCCCUGUGGGGCUGGGAUGGGUCACCUUUUCCAACGUGAGUGCCGGGAUGGAGCUUGCUGGUUUUCCAAGGACGUUGGCAUUGGGGUGCCCUUGAGGCCCAGCCUUUUCUGCUGGGGUUGUGCAAUGCUUUGUUCUGGCUCACAGGCAGAACUAAAAGCAGAACUUAGGGAUCUCAUUUAUUGUCAGUCUGGAACCCGUUUGAGGAAAGGGCAAUGUUAUGAGUUGCACUCUUGCUGCUGUUGUUGUCAUAAACUCACACGUUUAUGGAGUGUGCAUGGCUCUGGGAAUUGUUUUAAUGCUGAAUGCUAUUGUUCCAGUCUUUUAACCAACUUCCCUUUAUUGAUUACUAGGCUCCUUUUAGAUUUGAAGUCCCAGCCCAUGCUAGAAGCCCAUCUCCCCACACCACUGCCCCAUUAGUGAUAUCAAACCAGUCACUUCCAGCAGAGCACAGACCCCACGUCAGCACUCCCCAAAUCCUGCAGACCCAUCCUCCCAUCAGGCCAAUCAAGAUAUGAUUAAGAAGACACAAAACCCACAGUGAGAGGAGUAAACCAGUGUGGACAAUAGCAAUGCUAAUUGCCUGGCAAGCCUGUACUCAGCACUUCAAGGAUCUUUUCCAGCUGGCUAUGCCCAGCCUUAUCCUUCCCAGCAAGGAGGCAAAUUUGCAACAUGAUUAUGGUGGCUGCAUCUCUCUACCCCAUGCCAACUUGCUGCAAGCUGCCCCUGUUGGAUGUCCCACAGUACCAGUGGAUUCAUGUGUGUCUAGUAAUGGGAAACCCACCCUUACAUAGACCUAUAUGUAACCUUACUCCCUUUUUGCCUCGUGCACCUCUUCUGACAAUGCUUAGUCCCUAUAUGAAUGCUGUGGGAGCAUCCUUGUUGUAUCUGUGGCUCCUGGUGCCCAAACGCCAUUGCAGAGCGUUACUAUCCAACCUAUGCACACUUGUCUGCUCUUUGGUACUGCCUUCUCCAUUUGCUCUCCUCUGUCUUUUCUUUUCUUAGAAAGCUUCAUUUUAUGUGAAAUCACCAAGUCACAAAAUAUCUGUAGGAAUGUACGAAGCUUGUCGUAAAACCCAAACCUCUCUAAUGAAAAACUUCUGCUGGGAGAAGCAAACUCUGUUUCAUGUUGAGAGGUCCCAGGCGCACUAUUUGGCAAAAAGACUGCAGGAAGAGGCUCUGCAGGACUCUUGCUUUUACCUGCUGUUUCCUGGGGAGCCAGGAAGAUGUCCUGCGUGGGAUGGAAGGGGAGUGCUGGGGACAUCCUCUCAUCCUGGCAGAGGAAGUGAUGGAUGCAGAGGUGGGACAAGACCUCUCCGUCACAGAGACUUGGAUGAAAAGCCUGCCCUGUGAAAUAUUUAUUAUGUGGCAUGUCUGGUGGAGGUAGAUUUCUGUCACCAAGCUUUUUUCCUCUUGCUUUGUAUCCAUCUCACUUCCUUUUCAGACCCGCCUUGUUCCAGCAUUUAUGGAAAGUAUGUGGCAAAAGACCAGAAGAGCUAAUUUUUCCUGUUCUUGUUUCAUGAAGUGCUUCCCCCGCAGUCCUGCCUACAAAGACUCAGAGAAAUUCAGGAUGGAAAGGACCUGUUGGUUUGCUUUCUGUGCUCCUGCCAAGGUGAAAGCUUCCCAUGCAGUGCAGUCUUCAGUGCGUCAGCUCUUCCAGGUUUAAAUGAUGCAGGUGUCUUGUUGAGAUGAAACCUUUCCUGUGCUGUGACAGCAUAGAUAAUGGUUGAGAUGUCUUUGUAUUACGUGUGGAUCUCAAAGUGGGCCAGUUGGAAGGCAAGGUCAGCACCAGUCCUGUUUGGACUUCUGGUCUGGUGUAGUUCAGGUUUGAGCUUUCCACUUACCUGCUCCUGUGCUUGCACCCCUGGUUGUAAUGACCUGAGAGUGUCCCCUUGCUACAUGCAUAUACCAAACCCAGCAAGGAGGUUUAAAACCACAAAGGUUAACCACUUCUAAACACAAGAUAAAAGCCUCUGUGUUUGCUGGCCAGAGGGUCUGCUUCCAGACUGAGCGCAAUGUGUCCUGCACACUGAGCACUGUGUUCCAGCCUGAACACAGCUGCAUUAGCAAGGUGGAGAUGCACCUGCAUGCAGCACAAGGCAUUUGCUGACUGUGGUUGGAAUCCUGCUUCCUUGGCUUCUCGUCUGCUGAGCUUUUCAAGUGAAUAUGGUGCAAAUGCUCAGAAAGGGGAAAUGCUGGCAAUGAAAACAGACAGCAAGCUGCAGCAGGAUGUCAGCAUUGCACUCGUGCUACUUCAACACCCACAAGUCCCCAGGGCUAGAUACAGUGAUGUCUGCAGCUUCUGGGAGUCACAGUGCCACUUCUGGCUGGUGGAUCCUGCCAACAAGAUGCAGCUCUGAGCUGAUCCUCAGAAUCCAAAGAGCAAAUGAGCACCAUGUUUCCAUUUGUGGGCCCACAUAGGCAGGUCUGAAAGGAUGCUCUGGAAGGUCCCCACACCAUGAGGAAAUCCUCAGCCACAUAUGUGGGGCCACAUCUGGAUGUGAACCAGCUGUUGGCAGCCUGAGCCACAACACACAAAGAGGCCAUUGCAGCACAGGCUUUGGGUCACAGAAAGGAAAGCCCGGGAGCUGGUCACAAGCGUUGGGGCCGUGAAAUCUGAUUCUGUUGGAUGUUAUGGGCAAGGAACCUUGAACAUCAUGGACAGGUGGCCGGGGCUUGGGAAGGGGCUGUAACAAGGCAUCGUGGACACAAGAUCCUCUUUGUUAGGAUGCUGCUGUAGGAGAAGUGACUGCGUGAGAGGUUUUGGCACAGCUGCCUGAACUCCUUACCUCCCGCAGAUGAAAGCCUGCCUUUCUAAUCGUGUCUUUUAUUACGCUCUCCAAAAUGCUCUCCUGCCAUCCCACUGGGUUCGUAGGGGGAACAGGUGUUUUUAACAGGAGAUUAAUGGUUUUAAAAGCGUGCCCUGGGAGGCAUGGCAAUGCAUCACACUCCUGUUGGGAUGUGGGAUGCUGAACCCGGCAGGGAGGUUCAUAGCAGAGCAUCUCCCUUGCUGGUACAGGAUGCUUGUCCCACCUCACACAGAUGAUGAUGUGGGGUUGCUUUAGGCAGAGCCUGAGCUGUUUAAAGGCUGGCCAAGCACAAGCCAGUUUGUCAACAGAGUCACUGAGGAGCUCCCUGAGCUCCAAGUGCCAGCAGCACCCCUGGGGUGCCCCAUGCAUCCCAUCCUGCUGAUAAGGGUAGGAGAGGCACUGCUGGGGGGCUCCUGCACAGGGAUUGUUUGCAGGAGUUGAGUGCCCCACUCCAUCACUCAAACGCUUUGUGCUGCGCAAGGAAUCCCCCUGCAUCCCCCCAGAUUUCCCCUUUUGCACUGAAGAUCCUCCUGUUUCUCCCCUCAAACCCCCUCUGCUGGACCAGGGAUUUCCUCUUUUCCUUUCCUCAAAACCUGGGGUAUUUCUAAGCAAGUGAGUUGAGUGGUGGAUGGUGGAGAGAAGAGAUGUUAUGCUGUUCAAAGAUACCGAAUGUCUUCACCGUAGAGGACUGAAGUAUGUAGAGAGCAAGAAUUGCUGGCUCAGGAGCCAGGGUUAUUUGGAAGGGGACAGAAACUUGGCUGAGGAUCCCGUGGAACAAAGCAAAAACAGGAAAAUGCAUAGACAUGCCUCGAGAGUCAUAAAAACAAAGUUUAGGUUAAGUACACACAGGGUCUCCUUUUCCCUUUGCAGGUUAAGAAAGGGCAGCCUGUGCCUGCAGAGCUGCUGGCAGAAGCAAUCGCUCCACUUUUUCCUCGGCCAUACUUGAGAAUAGUGGGAAGAAUAGGGUGGGAUCUCCUUUUUGUCCCCCCACUGCUGCCCAGCAUCUCUGGUUUAGGCACGUUCCUUUGAUUAUGAUGCCAUGCCUGCACACUGCUGUAAACACCUGUCUACCAAGCGCCAUGUGAUGCAAAGCAGCACCUUAAAUUCACAAUGCCCUGUGAAAAUGAAACAACGUUGGGUUUAAUGAUUGGGAAAAAGAAUUUCUUAGCAGUGUUCCCAGUCUUGGGGAUAUUCUUGGAUGCUCUGCCCCAAUGCCAGAGCAGCGGACUCAGCAUCUUUGUGUCAGGGCAUUCCCAAAGCAGACCUGAGCUGUUUGGGUUGGCUGCAAUAUUACAAGAGGGUAAAGUGGUUGCAGGCUGUAAGCACUCGGAAAAGGGCUGGGUGUAGGAAAUGGCCUCCUUCGGGCACAUCAGCCACUCACUGCUUCCUCUCCGCCCCGCACAGCUCAUAAAAACAAGGUGUUUGUCCUCUUUGAUGGCAGCGGGUAGCAUCAAGCAGGCUUUGAUGUCAUGGAAGGAAAUAAUGUAUUUAGGCACAGCCCUCGUUCGGGUCAGACACAGCUAAUAUAAAUCAGGGUACUGAGGAGAUGGGGAAGGGUGUGGAGAAGUUCAACUUGACCCUUUACCAUCAUUUUCUUUAACUUUCACAUUAAAUUAACUUCCCUAUUGUUCCCUAUCACUGUGCUACAUCUUAUUUUUCCCAUCACCAUUCUUUUGUUCCCCUGAAAAGCUUUUGAACAAGAUGAGAAAGGGAAACCUUUAGUCAUCAGCAUUGCAGUGCGUGCCUUCAGAUCCCAGACAGCACACGAAAGCGGCAGGGGAAAAACAGAGCUGCCACAACACCCCCAGCAAUCGCUCUUGGAAAUGGCCUGAGCCUCCUUUGAAAACAACCUAUAGCUCCUUUGGAUGCUCAGUACUGCAGAACUCGAACCCAUUUCCACCCCUGCAUUAAGAUUCAUAGUGGGUGUAAAUGAGUUUCUGAGAUUUUCGUGCCGUCGUUGCCAUAAGGAGCUGAAUAAAAAUCACAUUAAAUAUACUUUAUACUUCUGCAACAGCUGGAAGCCAAGUCUUAAAGUGCUUUCCAAUCCCACGGGCCAAGAGCAGAACCACGAUCCUUUCAAGCCAAAGAGAUUUCCCAUUAAUUUAACCUGUCCAGAUUUGCCAGGGGCCAGAUUUUUAGUGCUUAAAUCAAAGAGAAGCUCCCAAAAAAACCAGAUGAGCCUGUGACUACCAUUGGGCUGACCCAUCUCAGUCACUGUCUGGAGAUACGAGUUGGUGCCCACCAGGCCAUCAGUUGACAUGGGAGGGGACAGCCUGUGGGAGCUGGGAUUUAUAGAUGGAUCCUGCUGGAGCUGAGAUGGAGAUGAGAUUGGGGUGUGUGUGCUCUCCAGAGGCAAUGCAUGUGAGGAGUGGCUGAGGGUUGUUCAGCCCAGAGAAGAAGAGGUGAUGUGAGAAAUGUAAAAGAUGCAAAAAAAAUCACGUUUCCUUCCCAGAAAUGCUAUCACAUCCUUGUGCAGCUAUUGAAAAGCUGGAGCGGAGAGAGAAGCAGCAUUGCAGGUCUGCAACAGGGCAGGUUUGGGCUGGAUUUGUAUUUUUCCAUGAAAUAUUUCACUUCCAGAGGCUGUUCUUCACUGGGUGGAAGCUGUCCCAGCAUGGCUGCAGGGUAUGGGAGAGGUGGUAAAGAGGAGGGUGAAAAGCAGAGAGAAAGAGGGCAGAAAUAAAACAAGAAAUGGAGAAGAAAGGGGCAUUUCUAGCUAUACUGCUUGCACGGAAUCUGUGGUUCUGGUGGUUUUGGGAAGCUCAGCUAACAGCACUGAAAAGCAACACCUUCUCCCUUGUCCCAGAAGCUUAAUGAAAGACUGUAAAAAAUAAUGUAUGUAUUUAUUGUAUACAUUUAUAUAAAGGUGCCUGGCUGCCCCAAAACAGAACGAGAUUCUGGCAUGCUGUGGACAGCUGGACACUUGGAGGUGGUCAGAAGAUGAACUGAACAGCAAAAGCACCUUCCUGCCUCCCCAGGUUUUAUGCAUUUCCUUUGCAGCUGGUGCCCUCUCGCGGAAAGCUCUCACCACUCAAUUUUGUCUGUUUUUCCUAAUGCAAGAGCAUCGUCCGGCAGCAUACAGGAGCCGCGGCAUUGCCCAAGCCCAGCACGGCCAGUGGGACCCAGGGUGACCUUUUGUGGGCACACAGCUAAAUCUGCGUUGGCAUUUAUCUGAACAAAGCUGCUUUACUUCACGUUUAUCCUGGCGGAUUGUUAUGGUGUUACCUCUCUUGCAAGUAUGCAUCUAUAUAUCAUCAAUAGGAUACACUUAUAGGAUAUAUAGGGAGAGACACCCCAUUUUUGCCACUUUUGA